This 362-nucleotide long non-coding RNA is filed under the name Anas platyrhynchos (mallard). RNAcentral describes it as "lncRNA (ENSAPLG00020007234.1)". Lineage: Eukaryota; Metazoa; Chordata; Aves; Anseriformes; Anatidae. The record is from RNAcentral.
ACUGAGGACCUGGUGGCAACUGUGUGUGACUUUGGGAUCCUCAUCACCGAGCAGGCCGCUGCAGCCACUGAGUCUGGAGGAGAAAGUGGACAAGAAAAAAGGCAAAGAGAAGAGCAAAAAACUGAAAGCAGAAAGUCAGGCCAGCCGGAAAACCACAGCGUCUGCCAAAGGAAAAAGAAAAAACAAAGGCUCCACUGAGCCGGAGGAGGGCCGAGGGCUCGAGGCAGUGCCGCUGACAGUGGAAUUCCAGGUACAGCUGCUGCGGUGGCCCUCGGCUGCUGCUCAGAGCCCGUGGAGCACGGUGGCCGUGGACAAGGCUCCCUAAGGCGGCCUGUGGCUGGAGCGAGCGACGGAGGGCCUGG